CUGCAAAUAAGCAAAGUCUAGUCUCAUUUUAGUGGUGGGACUUUUAAGCAUUGGUGCACAAAGGAAAAGCUAUUUUUCAGCAGCGGCCAGACAACCGUAGAAAUGGAUCCACAGAUCAAUGAUUUAAAAUGUCUUUUGUCUACUGAUUCCAUCUCACAUUU
Molecule: small nucleolar RNA, 161 nt
Filed under: Ananas comosus (pineapple)
Lineage: Eukaryota; Viridiplantae; Streptophyta; Magnoliopsida; Poales; Bromeliaceae
Description: small nucleolar RNA snoR143
Rfam family: small nucleolar RNA snoR143
Source: Rfam by way of RNAcentral